This 506-nucleotide ribosomal RNA is filed under the name uncultured bacterium. RNAcentral's name for it is "partial 16S ribosomal RNA". It matches the Rfam family "Bacterial small subunit ribosomal RNA", at positions 29 to 523 of the family's 1533-position model. The record is from RNAcentral.
AGUGAACGCUGGCGGUAGGCCUAACACAUGCAAGUCGAACGGCAGCACAGGAGAGCUUGCUCUCUGGGUGGCGAGUGGCGGACGGGUGAGGAAUACAUCGGAAUCUACUCUGUCGUGGGGGAUAACGUAGGGAAACUCACGCUAAUACCGCAUACGACCUACGGGUGAAAGCUGGGGACCUUCGGGCCUUGCGCGAUUGAAUGAGCCGAUGUCGGAUUAGCUAGUUGGCGGGGUAAAGGCCCACCAAGGCGACGAUCCGUAGCUGGUCUGAGAGGAUGAUCAGCCACACUGGAACUGAGACACGGUCCAGACUCCUACGGGAGGCAGCAGUGGGGAAUAUUGGACAAUGGGCGCAAGCCUGAUCCAGCCAUACCGCGUGGGUGAAGAAGGCCUUCGGGUUGUAAAGCCCUUUUGUUGGGAAAGAAAUCCAGCUGGCUAAUACCCGGUUGGGAUGACGGUACCCAAAGAAUAAGCACCGGCUAACUUCGUGCCAGCAGCCGCCGUAA